This 81-nucleotide transfer RNA is filed under the name Kosakonia phage Kc283. It matches the Rfam family "tRNA". Rfam says of the family: Transfer RNA (tRNA) molecules are approximately 80 nucleotides in length. Their secondary structure includes four short double-helical elements and three loops (D, anti-codon, and T loops). Lineage: Duplodnaviria; Heunggongvirae; Uroviricota; Caudoviricetes; Schitoviridae. The record is from Rfam by way of RNAcentral.
GUGAGUGUGGCUGAACGGUUGAAAGCACCUGACUGUAAAUCAGGCUCGAAAGACGUGGUGGUUCGAAUCCAUCCACUCACA